UGAGUUCAGCCUGUUCAGAUCCUGCCUUCAGAGGCCAUUUGAGGAUAUUCUCAUCGAAUUUGUGUUCUAGGCCUACUUACAGAUAUGAUCAUCAGACAUCUGUAUUGACUGUAAAUAUUUUUAAAAGCACAUGCAGAAAUUGGAAAGUUGUGAAUAUUUUGCGCAACCUGACGCACAUCCCCUCAGCUGUAUUUGUAAAGAUAAAAUGCAGAAUGUCUGACUUUUUGCGCAUUUCUCAGCUGUGCUUUUUACGCACUGCCGCUCCUUGGUGUGUGCGCCUUUAAAAAGGUACGCGGUGCACCUUUCUUUGUGCCAGUGUGCAGUCUGGACGCGCAGGUAAAAGGGAGGAGGUUGAGUUUGGAGAGAGAGGGAACCGGUAGGAGAGGGGAGAGGACAGGAGCGCAGGGCUCCAGCUGACAUUUGAUACUCAGGAAGUUCAGGACGCCGCUUGGAUUUCUUUUGUUUCAUUGUAAUUCUGCAGUCCUGCUGCGGGCAACAAGGGCUGAAGGCUUGUGUUGCCUUAACACAACUUCUAAAUAGGAAAAGCUUAAAGUAAUAAGAAUAGAUGACGGACUAAAAUGUGUGGUGAGGCCGGCUUCAGUGCAGUUUGUAGACUCUGAUGUGAGGCGCGGCGAUGGACCCGGGGGAAGUGCCCCCUGUGGAGUUGGGCCACUGAAGCCCCGGCUACAUCCUUGUCAGCCGGCUGUGGAGGAUCAAUAGCUCUGCUGCUCUUCUGCCCACAGAGCUUCUCCCUCUGAACAUAUUGCCCCCAGGAUGAAGCACGAGCACUCACACUGCGGACCAACUGCCUAGAUUGGAUGGUUUUAAUGACAUCCAAUCAGGUUCAAAGUCAGUUGAUGGAUGGAGUAUGUGAUGAUUUGAAGAGUGCACUGCGGUGUGGUGCACAAUGAUGUAACUUGUAAUGGUGUCACGCAAUGCAGCACUGAGUCCAUGUAGAACGGAGCUCUGAGGCCUAGAAAAGGGCCUUGCAGGUGAAUUACAGAGCCUCAGCAGUAAAUACAGAUGUAUGCAUUCCCAUUCUGUAGAAAUGUAUGUUAUAUAAUGCAUUUAUUGUAUAUCAUGCAACUGUACAAAUUGUCAUUUUUAUAAUUAUGCAUGUAAAUAUGAAAAACAGUGUAUUUGGCAUUGAAUAAAAGCAAAUAUGAACUGAUGAUUAAUGAGACAAUUUCUUCUGAUGCAGUCUCUGAUGUACUUUUAUUUAUUUCUUAUUAUAUAAACUUCCAAGUCUGACUUUGUAUCUACCGUAACAUUUAGGAAAAUAUUUUACUUGUAUUUUAUCCCCAAACAUUUUUCUGCUGUACAGGGACAAGACAAAUGUAAGGCAUCUUUCAAAAUACACAAUGUAUACUGCUCAAAAUAAGAGAUAUUUUAUUUCAUUUUAUUUAUUGCAGUGAAAUUUAAUGCAAUGGAAAUAAACCUAAACCGUGCAUUUUUGUUAUUAAAACAAUUUAACAGCACAAAGACUGAAUGUGAAAGCAUC
Molecule: long non-coding RNA, 1501 nt
Organism: Sphaeramia orbicularis (orbiculate cardinalfish)
Lineage: Eukaryota; Metazoa; Chordata; Actinopteri; Kurtiformes; Apogonidae
Exons: 2
Source: RefSeq, a predicted model, not a curated record